AUUGAACGCUGGCGGCAGGCCUAACACAUGCAAGUCGAGCGGAUGAAGGGAGCUUGCUCCUGGAUUCAGCGGCGGACGGGUGAGUAAUGCCUAGGAAUCUGCCUGGUAGUGGGGGAUAACGUCCGGAAACGGGCGCUAAUACCGCAUACGUCCUGAGGGAGAAAGUGGGGGAUCUUCGGACCUCACGCUAUCAGAUGAGCCUAGGUCGGAUUAUCUAGUUGGUGGGGUAAAGGCCUACCAAGGCGACGAUCCGUAACUGGUCUGAGAGGAUGAUCAGUCACACUGGAACUGAGACACGGUCCAGACUCCUACGGGAGGCAGCAGUGGGGAAUAUUGGACAAUGGGCGAAAGCCUGAUCCAGCCAUGCCGCGGGUGUGAAGAAGGUCUUCGAUUGUAAAGCACUUUAAGUUGGGAGGAAGGGCAGUAAGUUAAUACCUUGCUGUUUUGACGUUACCAACAGAAUAAGCACCGGCUAACUUCGUG
Molecule: ribosomal RNA, 483 nt
Filed under: uncultured bacterium
Lineage: Bacteria
Description: partial 16S ribosomal RNA
Rfam family: Bacterial small subunit ribosomal RNA
Source: RNAcentral